Molecule: ribosomal RNA, 251 nt
Filed under: uncultured prokaryote
Description: partial 16S ribosomal RNA
Rfam family: Bacterial small subunit ribosomal RNA
Source: RNAcentral
UACGGAGGAUCCGAGCGUUAUCCGGAUUUAUUGGGUUUAAAGGGUGCGCAGGCGGGCGCUUAAGUCGGUGGUGAAAUCUUGCAGCUCAACUGUAACAGUGCCGUUGAUACUGGGGAGCUAGGAUUUGGUUGCUGUGGGUGGAAUGUGUGGUGUAGCGGUGAAAUGCUUAGAGAUCACACAGAAUAUCGAUUGCGAAGGCAGCUCACAAAGCCAAGAUUGACGCUGAGGCACGAAAGUGUGGGGAUCAAACA